UACAGAGGGGGCAAGCGUUGUUCGGAAUUACUGGGCGUAAAGGGCGCGUAGGCGGCCUGUUAAGUCGAACGUGAAAUCCCCGGGCUCAACCCGGGAACUGCGUCCGAUACUGGCAGGCUUGAAUCCGGGAGAGGGAUGCGGAAUUCCAGGUGUAGCGGUGAAAUGCGUAGAUAUCUGGAGGAACACCGGUGGCGAAGGCGGCAUCCUGGACCAACACUGACACUGAGGAGCGAAGGCGUGGGGAGCGAACGGG
Molecule: ribosomal RNA, 253 nt
Filed under: uncultured bacterium
Lineage: Bacteria
Description: partial 16S ribosomal RNA
Rfam family: Bacterial small subunit ribosomal RNA
Source: RNAcentral